This 295-nucleotide long non-coding RNA is filed under the name Oryza brachyantha (malo sina). Its description in RNAcentral is "long non-coding RNA (OBRA_LNC001182)". Lineage: Eukaryota; Viridiplantae; Streptophyta; Magnoliopsida; Poales; Poaceae. The record is from RNAcentral.
UCCUACGUAUACUCAUCCAUAGAAAAUGGGUUUUAUAUAUGUCUCACCUCGUCGUACAAUGUAGGAUUGAGAGAAAUGAGGAAUCAAAAUAUGCCAACCAAUUGUAAUUCAGCAACAAGGCUGCAACCUAUAAGUCUCUUAGAAUUUGGUAGUAGAUGUCCUUCCAAUACACUCCGAUUUGGAGGUCUCUUGUGCCACCUCACUGCUCUCCGGCUCCAUUGGACAACUGACAUGCUGAGAAGACCGGUUUUGCCCCACCUGUAUCGCGUCAUCGCCGUGUCCUUUGUGAUCAACA